UACGCGCAUGCGUGGACCGAUCGGGCGAUAAAGCAAGAUGAGGUCAGACGGAGAAGUCCUUAACGCGCGCAUUAUAUUUCUGUAUUCUGACAUAUAUGUUGUUUAAUAGAGUACACACGGUUGAUAAUUGAUUGUAGCCGGAUACAUUAGUCUGAGCGCACUUUGACACUUCUCCUAAGGUAGCUUGCAGCUAGUUUAGCAGCUAGUUUAGCUGGCUAGUUAGCUUAGCUUGUUAGCUGCUAACAAAGAGACGCGGAAGUUAUUUAAACAUCGCUAAGUAGGGAACUAAUGUGAGUGUAAAGUGUUGUGAUUGUGUGAACAUGUGCUAAAGAACGAUGGCAAAGUACGAGGAGGAACUUUGGCCAACAAAAGAGGCGAAGGAGCGUCAACAUCAACUAUCCAUCCAUCCAUCUCCUACCGCUUAUUCCCUUUUGGGGUCGCGGGGGGCGCUGGCGCCUAUCUCAGCUACAAUCGGGCGGAAGGCGGUGUACACCCUGGACAAGUCGCCACCUCAUCGCAGGGCCAACACAGAUAGACAGACAACAUCCACACUCACAUUCACACACUAGGGCCAAUUUAGAGUUGUCAAUCAACCUAUCCCCAGGUGCAUGUCUUUGGAAGUGGGAGGAAGCCGGAGUACCCGGAGGGAACCCACGCAUUCACGGGGAGAACAUGCAAACUCCACACAGAAAGAUCCCGAGCCUGGAUUUGAACCCAGGACUGCAGGACCUUCGUAUUGUGAGGCAGACGCACUAACCCCUCUGCCACCGUGAAGCCAUCAACAUCAACUACUGGAUGUUUAUUAUAAGAAACAUCAUCAAGUUGUGUUACACAGAACAGAUGUCUGUGAAGAACAACUUCUGCCUGAAAAGCAGGAGUGUAGCCUCAGGAUGGUGAAGGAGGAUCCUACAAAGAGGACCCUCUGGCGUCUCCUUUUCCUCUUUGACACAGACCCUUCCUUGUAAAAAGGAAGAGGAAGACUCACUGAUCCCCCACAUUAAAAAGGAAGAGGAGGAACACAACAUCAGUCAGGAAGGAGAUCAUCUUGAAGGACUGGUGGAGUUCCCAGUGACUGGUGUCCCUGUGAAGAGUGAAGAUGAUGAGGUCAAAUACCAUAGUCAUCUGAAAAGUCUCGUGAGAACGCACACUGGAGAAAGACCUUUUUCCUGCUCAGAAUGUGGUAAAUGUUUUUCACGAAAAAAGGGGUUAAACGAACACAUGCUAAUACACACUGGAGAAAAACCUUGUUCCUGUUCACUCUGUAGUGAAGGUUUUACACAAAGUCAAAAUUUGAAAGUGCACAUGAGAACGCACACUGGAGAAAAAGCUUUUACCUGUUCAAGUUGUGGUAAAAGUUUUACUAGCAGUCAGAGUUUGAAAGCACACAUGAGAACACACACUGGAGAAAAGUCGUUUUUCUGCUCAGAAUGUGGUAAAUGUUUUACUCACAGUCGGAGUUUGAAAGUACACAUGAUAAUACACACUAGAGAAAAACCUUUUUCUUUUUCAAUCCGUGGUAAAGGUUUUACACAAAAAAAACUAAUUAAACAAAGACAUGCUAAUACACACUGGAGACAAAUGUUUUACCUGUUCAAUAUGUAGUAAAGGUUUUACAGAAAGUCAAUAUUUGAAAAGACACAAGAGAACACACACUGAUGAAAAAUCACAUUCCUGUUCAAUCUGCAACAGAAGCUUUUGUCAGCGAUCAAACCUUGUAGCACACAGAAGACACCCAGGAGAAAAAGUGUUGAGUUGCAGUGUGUGUGGUGAAAGAUUCUCUUCUAAGUACCAGUGUAAGAAACACAAGUGUGCUGGUGAGAACAGCAGCAGCAAAUGAAACUGCAGGAUUUGAAAUAAACUGCCAAGACUUUAAUGUUGACUUUCUAACAACAUCAGCACAUAUAACAUGUGUGACAUUGUUGUUUCUGUAACACAAUCUUGUUAACAUGCUUCUAUAUUUAUACACCAUUUGUUUCAGCCCAUUGCGUGCCUUAAUAUGCAACAUUUUUUACUUUUAUAUUAACAUAAAUUAUUGCAAGAGGAACAAUUUUAAAAAGGUCAGUAAAUCCAAAACAGUACAAAACAUGUGAUACAUGAAAAGUACAUUUAGUGUACAUAUAUUUUAUCCAUCCAUCCAUCCAUUUCCUACCGCUUAUUCCCUUUGGGCCCACGGGGGCUCUUGUGCCUACAUAUGUUUUAUACAAAAUAAUUUCCUUUUAAAACGUGUGACUGUAUGUGUAACAUUGGUAUUUUUGUAACACUAUUUUAAUAUGCUUCUACAUUUACAGAUUAGGUAUUUUGUAUUACUGUUUUUUUUUAGUCAAGUACAUGCAUUAAUAUGCAACAUUGUUUACUUUUAUUUAAAAUUGAACAGAACAAUUUGACUGAAAAGGUGAGAGUAAACAGUACAAUACAUAUUUUACAUACAUUAAAACAUUUAAGUAUAUAUAAUCAUCAUACAAUAUUAGACAUUCACAAUAGUGUUUUUUAUAGGUAUUUGAAAUAUUGAAGUGUGACAUAUUUUUAUUUCUAAUUAUUAAUCAUCUCAUAGAUAAGCACCUUUAUAUGAUAUACAUAUUUACUGGUUUACAUCUGAAACAUCUUCUGGACCACUUCAGGAAGCAUAUUAUUAUUUACUUUAUACAUCAUUUGAACAAUUGUCUUUUAUACAAUUUUAAAAUGUAUAAUUUAAUGAAUUAUUUGUUGGGUUUCUAGAAUCCAUUUAAUUAAUGAUCUUUAUUACUCUCUUUUGUAAUAUGAUGAUUGUGUUGUGAUUGUUUUAUAUGUAUGUCCCCAGACAUUUAUGCAAUAUAAAAGUGAGAGAAAAUGGCUGAAAUGUUUGUGGAAGGAUGGUUUUGUUUUUACAAACUUACAUUUGUGGAUAAAACCAAAACCCUCAAUUUUGUGUUUUAAAAAUGUUUUAUGUUUAACAUCCCCAAAACGGGUGCCGGGUGGCGGGGCUCUCCCUUAGAGAUAGGGUGAGAAGCUCUGCCAUCCGGGAGGAACUCAAAGUAAAGCCGCUGCUCCUUCACAUCGAGAGGAGCCAGAUGAGGUGGUUCGGGCAUCUGGUCAGGAUGCCACCCGAACGCCUCCCUAGGGAGGUGUUUAGGGCACGUCCAACCAGUAGGAGGCCACGGGGAAGACCCAGGACACGUUGGGAAGACUAUGUCUCCCGGCUGGCCUGGGAACGCCUCGGGAUCCCCCGGGAAGAGCUAGACGAAGUGGCUGGGGAGAGGGAAGUCUGGGUUUCCCUGCUUAGGCUGUUGCCCCCGCGACCCGACCUCGGAUAAGCGGAAGAUGAUGGAUGGAUGGAUGGAAGUUUGGAGUGUCAGGCCAACCCAAUAUAGCACAUCAUCCCACAGAGAUUUACUUUGCAUACAUUCCUAACUGUUAAUUUUGUUUCUCUUUCACAGAACGAACAAGUGUGGUCAUAAAUUGCAAAACAACAUCCUAAAACUAUUUUAAGUGGUCAAUUUUGUUUUUUUGUAUGUGUGUGUGUUUUUUUUAUGAACACUUCUGCCAUUGGAAGAAUGGAAACUUUCAAGUUAUGAGUAUUGUUUAUUUUGUUCCAGAGAAA
Molecule: RNA transcript, 3577 nt
Organism: Nerophis ophidion (straightnose pipefish)
Lineage: Eukaryota; Metazoa; Chordata; Actinopteri; Syngnathiformes; Syngnathidae
Gene name: gastrula zinc finger protein XlCGF57.1-like
Exons: 2
Source: RefSeq, a predicted model, not a curated record